Molecule: transfer RNA, 83 nt
Filed under: Actinomyces naeslundii
Lineage: Bacteria; Bacillati; Actinomycetota; Actinomycetes; Actinomycetales; Actinomycetaceae
Description: tRNA-Ala(cgc)
Source: RNAcentral
CCGAUCCCGGAGGGCCGGGAGCCGCGGCCGCCACCCGCGCUCGCGGGGGCUGCCAGGGCCCGUUCCAUCCGGGUGCGUCGGUC